GUCGGAAUCUGGGAGGACCAUCUCCCAAGGCUAAAUACUCCCUAGUGAUCGAUAGUGAACCAGUACCGUGAGGGAAAGGUGAAAAGCACCCCGGAAGGGGAGUGAAAGAGAUCCUGAAACCGUGUGCCUACAAAUAGUCAGAGCCCGUUAAUGGGUGAUGGCGUGCCUUUUGUAGAAUGAACCGGCGAGUUACGAUUUGAUGCAAGGUUAAGCAGUAAAUGUGGAGCCGUAGCGAAAGCGAGUCUGAAUAGGGCGUUUAGUAUUUGGUCGUAGACCCGAAACCAGGUGAUCUACCCUUGGUCAGGUUGAAGUUCAGGUAACACUGAAUGGAGGACCGAACCGACUUACGUUGAAAAGUGAGCGGAUGAACUGAGGGUAGCGGAGAAAUUCCAAUCGAACCUGGAGAUAGCUGGUUCUCUCCGAAAUAGCUUUAGGGCUAGCCUCAAGUGAUGAUUAUUGGAGGUAGAGCACUGUUUGGACGAGGGGCCCCUCUCGGGUUACCGAAUUCAGACAAACUCCGAAUGCCAAUUAAUUUAACUUGGGAGUCAGAACAUGGGUGAUAA
RNAcentral lists this ribosomal RNA (563 nucleotides) under Acinetobacter baumannii. RNAcentral describes it as "bacterial LSU rRNA". It matches the Rfam family "Bacterial large subunit ribosomal RNA", at positions 436 to 1001 of the family's 2925-position model. The record is from RNAcentral. Lineage: Bacteria; Pseudomonadati; Pseudomonadota; Gammaproteobacteria; Moraxellales; Moraxellaceae.